GAUGUGAUUGGAUGGUUCUAUUGGUGGUAGAAAGCCAUUUGUUCGAAUAAAGCUAUUGAUUCUGUUAAGCAUAUAGAAAUUUUAGUAGUAAUCAUAUGAUGGAAUAACUCUACUUUGGAAUCCUAUGAUAUCUACCAUAAAGAAUCCAGAGGGUAUUCAAGGAUUCCCAAUAACUACAACUCGCUCGAUCAGGUAAUUGAUUAUGGAGUUUAUAAGCUUUGGAAAUACAAUAACGUUGGGCUGUUGGCUGAAAUGGAUAUCAGUUGAGAAGAUCCCGAGUAACUUUCUCAUCUUGCAAUUCUGUGGACAAGGCCCAACUAUAUUAUAUGUAGAUUAAAAGAUGCUUUGGUGUUGUUAGUUACUGGUGAAUAGAGAAGUCAUUGGUGAGUUUUUUAUGCUCUUCUAUUUUUAGUGAAUCACACCUCAGAGACAAUACAAGCAGUAGAUUCAAUUUCCCUUUGAAAUAGUAGAUUCAACAAGCUUCUAACUAUAAGCUUCAACA
Molecule: long non-coding RNA, 502 nt
Organism: Magnolia sinica
Lineage: Eukaryota; Viridiplantae; Streptophyta; Magnoliopsida; Magnoliales; Magnoliaceae
Exons: 4
Source: RefSeq, a predicted model, not a curated record